Long non-coding RNA from Dama dama (fallow deer), 549 nucleotides. RefSeq lists it as uncharacterized. The record is from RefSeq and is a predicted model, not a curated record. The transcript has 2 exons. NCBI's taxonomy places the organism in Eukaryota, Metazoa, Chordata, Mammalia, Artiodactyla, Cervidae.
GGAGGCCCACCGCCCUUCCCUGCCAGCCCGCCCAUUCAUUCCCGGGCCUCGCUUCGGCUCCCGCUCCAGCAGCUGCGGCCCGCGCUCGGCUCGUUGUCCCGGGCGCCGGUCGGCCUCUCCUCCUCCGGUCCCGGGGAAUUGGGCGGCGGAUCUGGGAGGGCCUCGCCCUCAUUUCACACGUCCCGCUCGCGCGUCGGACGGCGUGAAUAGGCGUUCCCGUUUCACACGCCCGAUUGGACCUGAACCUGCGCCAGGCUAAUUUUGCAGGUGUCCGGCUUAGGCAGUGUCUGAUGGGAAAAGGAAACCACUGAGCCACCCUAAAUAAGGUGUCUUGGGCUCAGGUUGUGGGGACCUGGAGGGGUCAAGUCCAGGCUCACGUCCUACAGACGGGGAAGCUGAGGCCCCGAUCAGGAGCGGUCAGUAGAGGACUGGACCGGUCCCUCUGAGGUCCCAGUGGCGCUUCUGUCUCCCUGACGCUUGGUUUCCCGUAGCCCUGAUGCUGGAAAGAUGCCUUAUUAAACAGAAAGCUGUUCUCCUCCCGUCAAACAG